UACGAAGGGGGCUAGCGUUGCUCGGAAUUACUGGGCGUAAAGCGCACGUAGGCGGCUUUCUAAGUCGGGGGUGAAAUCCCAGAGCUCAACUCUGGAACUGCCUUUGAUACUGGGUAUCUCGAGUAUGGAAGAGGUGAGUGGAAUUCCGAGUGUAGAGGUGAAAUUCGUAGAUAUUCGGAGGAACACCAGUGGCGAAGGCGGCUCACUGGUCCAUUACUGACGCUGAGGUGCGAAAGCGUGGGGAGCAAACAGG
Molecule: ribosomal RNA, 253 nt
Filed under: uncultured bacterium
Lineage: Bacteria
Description: partial 16S ribosomal RNA
Rfam family: Bacterial small subunit ribosomal RNA
Source: RNAcentral